GACGAACGCUGGCGGCGUGCCUAACACAUGCAAGUCAAACGGAAGUUAGAGCUUCUGUUUUAACUUUAGUGGCGAACGGGUGAGUAACGCGUGAGGAACCUGCCUUUCAGUGGGGGACAACAGUUGGAAACGACUGCUAAUACCGCAUGACACUUUUGGGAGACAUCUCCUGAAAGUCAAAGCUUUAUGUGCUGAAAGAUGGCCUCGCGUCUGAUUAUCUAGUUGGUGAGGUAACGGCUCACCAACGCGACGAUCAGUAGCCGGUCUGAGAGGAUGAACGGCCACAUUGGGACUGAGAUACGGCCCCAGACUCUUACGGGAGGCAGCAGUGGGGAAUAUUGGGCACUGGGGGAAACCCUGACCCAGCAACGCCGCGUGAAGGAAGAAGGCCUUCGGGUUGUAAACUUCUUUUACCAGGGACGAAGGACGUGACGGUACCUGGAGAAAAAGCAACGGCUAACUACGUGCCAGCAGCCGCGGUAAUACGUAGGUUGCAAGCGUUGUCCGGAUUUACUGGGUGUAAAGGGCGUGUAGGCGGAGGUGCAAGUUGGGAGUGAAAUCCAUGGACUCAACCCAUGAACUGCUCUCAAAACUGUAUCCCUUGAGUAUCGGAGAGGCAAGCGGAAUUCCUAGUGUAGCGGUGAAAUGCGUAGAUAUUAGGAGGAACACCAGUGGCGAAGGCGGCUUGCUGGACGACAACUGACGCUGAGGCGCGAAAGCGUGGGGAGCAAACAGGAUUAGAUACCCUGGUAGUCCACGCUGUAAA
This 766-nucleotide ribosomal RNA is filed under the name uncultured bacterium. Its description in RNAcentral is "bacterial SSU rRNA". It matches the Rfam family "Bacterial small subunit ribosomal RNA", at positions 28 to 806 of the family's 1533-position model. The record is from RNAcentral.